RNAcentral lists this ribosomal RNA (253 nucleotides) under uncultured bacterium. RNAcentral's name for it is "partial 16S ribosomal RNA". It matches the Rfam family "Bacterial small subunit ribosomal RNA", at positions 524 to 776 of the family's 1533-position model. The record is from RNAcentral.
UACGGAGGAUGCGAGCGUUAUCCGGAAUGAUUGGGCGUAAAGCGUCCGCAGGUGGCUAUGUAAGUCUGCUGUUAAAGAGUCAUGCUCACCAUGAUAAGAGCAGUGGAAACUACAUGGCUAGAGUGCGUUCGGGGCAGAGGGAAUUCCUGGUGUAGCGGUGAAAUGCGUAGAUAUCAGGAAGAACACCGGUGGCGAAGGCGCGCUGCUAGGCCGCAACUGACACUGAGGGACGAAAGCUAGGGGAGCGAACGGG